GUUUCUGAAGCAUAGGAGGCACCAGUAACCAAAGGGCUACAUAAAUGUGCUGAGCAUUUUACGCUUCAAAGUACUUUUCAACAGUUCAGUGGAACGCAGCUUACGAGCUGCAUGCGACAAAGGCGGACCAGAUUAUGUACACGGACAGGUUCUUGAGAUAUGCCUAUUUACAGGAGGCAGUCACGAUGAGGCAAUUCCAGGUGCUUAGAACAGCCCGAAGGUGUUCUCGCCGCUGUAGGUCAUGUAGAGGAAGCCGUCCGCGUCCUUGUUCUCCUCGUAGAUGGCAGACAUCAGAGCGGCUGGAAGACCAAAGUGACAAUUAUGUUUAGGGACAGGG
This 337-nucleotide long non-coding RNA is filed under the name Setaria italica (foxtail millet). RNAcentral describes it as "long non-coding RNA (SITA_LNC004267)". The record is from RNAcentral. Lineage: Eukaryota; Viridiplantae; Streptophyta; Magnoliopsida; Poales; Poaceae.